RNAcentral lists this ribosomal RNA (496 nucleotides) under uncultured bacterium. Its description in RNAcentral is "partial 16S ribosomal RNA". It matches the Rfam family "Bacterial small subunit ribosomal RNA", at positions 28 to 506 of the family's 1533-position model. The record is from RNAcentral.
GAUGAACGCUGGCGGCGUGCCUAAUACAUGCAAGUCGAGCGAACGGACUAGAAGCUUGCUUUUCUGAUGUUAGCGGCGGACGGGUGAGUAACACGUGGAUAACCUACCUAUAAGACUGGGAUAACUUCGGGAAACCGGUGCUAAUACCGGAUAAUAUUUUUAACCGCAUGUUUCAAAAGUGAAAGACGGUCUUGCUGUCACUUAUAGAUGUACCCGCUCUGCAUUAGAUCGUUGGUAAGGUAACGCCUUACCAAGGCAACGAUGCAUAGCCGACCUGAGAGGGUGAGCGGCCACACUGGAACUGAGACACGGUCAAGACUCCUACGGGAGGCAGCAGUAGGGAAUCUUCCGCAAUGGGAGAAAGCCUGACGGAGCAACGCCGCGUGAGUGAUGAAGGUCUUCGGAUCGUAAAACUCUGUUAUGAGGGAAGAACAGAUGUGUAAGUAAAUGUGAACAUCUUGACGGUACCUAAUCAGAAAGCCACGGCUAACUACGU